RNAcentral lists this ribosomal RNA (490 nucleotides) under uncultured bacterium. RNAcentral describes it as "partial 16S ribosomal RNA". It matches the Rfam family "Bacterial small subunit ribosomal RNA", at positions 30 to 507 of the family's 1533-position model. The record is from RNAcentral.
AUUGAACGCUGGCGGCAGGCCUAACACAUGCAAGUCGAACGGUAACAGGAAGCAGCUUGCUGCUUCGCUGACGAGUGGCGGACGGGUGAGUAAUGUCUGGGAAGCUACCUGAUGGAGGGGGAUAACUACUGGAAACGGUAGCUGAUACCGCAUAAUGUCGCAAGACCAAAGAGGGGGACCUUCGGGCCUCUUGCCAUCGGAUGUGCCCAGAUGGGAUUAGCUUGUUGGUGGGGUAACGGCUCACCAAGGCGACGAUCCCUAGCUGGUCUGAGAGGAUGACCAGCCACACUGGAACUGAGACACGGUCCAGACUCCUACGGGAGGCAGCAGUGGGGAAUAUUGCACAAUGGGCGCAAGCCUGAUGCAGCCAUGCCGCGUGUAUGAAGAAGGCCUUCGGGUUGUAAAGUACUUUCAGCGGGGAGGAAGGGAGUAAAGUUAAUACCUUUGCUCAUUGACGUUACCCGCAGAAGAAGCACCGGCUAACUCCGUG